Molecule: ribosomal RNA, 531 nt
Filed under: Candida albicans
Lineage: Eukaryota; Fungi; Ascomycota; Pichiomycetes; Serinales; Debaryomycetaceae
Description: eukaryotic LSU rRNA
Rfam family: 5.8S ribosomal RNA (bases 126-279)
Source: RNAcentral
AGCACACAUGUGUUUUUCUUUGAAACAAACUUGCUUUGGCGGUGGGCCCAGCCUGCCGCCAGAGGUCUAAACUUACAACCAAUUUUUUAUCAACUUGUCACACCAGAUUAUUACUUAAUAGUCAAAACUUUCAACAACGGAUCUCUUGGUUCUCGCAUCGAUGAAGAACGCAGCGAAAUGCGAUACGUAAUAUGAAUUGCAGAUAUUCGUGAAUCAUCGAAUCUUUGAACGCACAUUGCGCCCUCUGGUAUUCCGGAGGGCAUGCCUGUUUGAGCGUCGUUUCUCCCUCAAACCGCUGGGUUUGGUGUUGAGCAAUACGACUUGGGUUUGCUUGAAAGACGGUAGUGGUAAGGCGGGAUCGCUUUGACAAUGGCUUAGGUCUAACCAAAAACAUUGCUUGCGGCGGUAACGUCCACCACGUAUAUCUUCAAACUUUGACCUCAAAUCAGGUAGGACUACCCGCUGAACUUAAGCAUAUCAAUAAGCGGAGGAAAAAGAUCAUUACUGAUUUGCUUAAUUGCACACAUGUGU